This 1194-nucleotide long non-coding RNA is filed under the name Gallus gallus (chicken). RNAcentral describes it as "lncRNA (ENSGALG00010000983.1)". The record is from RNAcentral. Lineage: Eukaryota; Metazoa; Chordata; Aves; Galliformes; Phasianidae.
CCCUCAUCCUGCCACGUGUCAACAGUGAGAAGAAACCAACCCCACUCACCUUUCAGGGAUUUGAAGAGAGCAAUAAGGAAAAAAAGAAAAAAAAGAAAGAAAGAAAGGAAGAAAAAAAAACACAGGAAAAAGAGAUUACCAGUGAUAUCCUGUAAAACUGAAAUAAAGCCUUUUUCAGUGCUACAUAAUCCAAGGAAAAAUAUCAUUCCUGCUUUUGAAAUUCCUGGACAUAUCCUAGGAGUGCUGUUCCAGAGCCUGAAGGAUUGCAACCACACAAAAUAAAAUGACUAGAAAGUGUAAAGAGGUCUCAGUAACAUGGGGGAAGCUGGAGAAGUAGCAGAGCACAGAUGCUGAAAAAGAAUAACAGGAAAAAGACAGUCCAACUACCAUGGGAUGGACAGACAGGGUAAUGAAGGAUUAGAGUGUUCUCUUGGAAGUUUUCUAACAGGCACCGUGGUAUAUACUGAAGACUGAUCUACUUGGAAGUGAUGAUGAUGAUGAUGAUAAUAACAAAUAUUUUAGUUAUAUUAUUUUUGAUCUAACCUCCUCUGUUUAAGAAUGUUAAUUUUUUAGUAUGUAUGCUAAAAACAUCUGUCACCUCAAAACUCUUGUUUAUUCAGUCUUUUUUAUUUAUAGACAGUUGUAAAGUAGGUGUUGAAAGGAAUCCAAGAAGGCCAUACAGUUGAUACCCCUCUAGCCAAAGUUAAAAUCAAAUAUAACUAAACCAUUUUUUAUAUUUUUCUAAAUUACUGUUAAAAAAAAAUGUUAUCAAUGCAUAUAUGAUUACUUUCCUAAAGUUGUAAAUUCUUACCUUUACCUUACAAAUAUUUUUCAUAUAACUUAAGUGCAUAUUAACCUUAUUAUGUAUCACUCUGUUCAUAAAAAAACAUAAAACACAGCUUUUUCUUUUCACUUUAACUGUCUUUUUAUUUAUUGUUAGUUUUUGAAGGUGUAUUUAUCACAUUAAUAUUCCUUUAUCUAUUAAGUAUGCCUUGAUUUUUCUUCAGAAGUUGUUAGAUUUUUAUGAUCAUUAUUGUUGUUCAUUCUAAAGACUUUUCAGUUAUUGUACAUGCAAGAAAUUAACAUAAUAUUCUAGUUCCAACUUAUAAAUAAUGCUUCUCUGUUUUCAUGUGUACAGAUGUAUAUUAGUAUGUGAAUAUAUUCAAGAGUGCUCACAAUAAAAAAUUAAGAGCU